UACGGAGGGUGCAAGCGUUAUCCGGAUUCACUGGGUUUAAAGGGUGCGUAGGUGGGUCUGUAAGUCAGUGGUGAAAUCUCCGGGCUCAACCUGGAAACUGCCAUUGAUACUAUUAGUCUUGAAUUUUGUUGAGGUAGGCGGAAUAAGUCAUGUAGCGGUGAAAUGCAUAGAUAUGACUUAGAACACCAAUUGCGAAGGCAGCUUGCUAAACAAAUAUUGACGCUGAGGCACGAAAGCGUGGGGAUCAAACAGG
RNAcentral lists this ribosomal RNA (253 nucleotides) under uncultured bacterium. Its description in RNAcentral is "partial 16S ribosomal RNA". It matches the Rfam family "Bacterial small subunit ribosomal RNA", at positions 524 to 776 of the family's 1533-position model. The record is from RNAcentral.